Molecule: ribosomal RNA, 250 nt
Filed under: uncultured Raoultella sp.
Lineage: Bacteria; Pseudomonadati; Pseudomonadota; Gammaproteobacteria; Enterobacterales; Enterobacteriaceae
Description: partial 16S ribosomal RNA
Rfam family: Bacterial small subunit ribosomal RNA
Source: RNAcentral
CGGGUGAGUAAUGUCUGGGAAACUGCCUGAUGGAGGGGGAUAACUACUGGAAACGGUAGCUAAUACCGCAUAACGUCGCAAGACCAAAGUGGGGGACCUUCGGGCCUCAUGCCAUCAGAUGUGCCCAGAUGGGAUUAGCUAGUAGGUGGGGUAAUGGCUCACCUAGGCGACGAUCCCUAGCUGGUCUGAGAGGAUGACCAGCCACACUGGAACUGAGACACGGUCCAGACUCCUACGGGAGGCAGCAGGC